RNAcentral lists this ribosomal RNA (376 nucleotides) under uncultured bacterium. RNAcentral describes it as "bacterial SSU rRNA". It matches the Rfam family "Bacterial small subunit ribosomal RNA", at positions 56 to 431 of the family's 1533-position model. The record is from RNAcentral.
UGCAGUCGAGCGGAACGAUGCCUAGCUUGCUAGGAGGCGUCGAGCGGCGGACGGGUGAGUAAUGCAUAGGAAUCUGCCCGGUAGUGGGGGAUAACCUGGGGAAACCCAGGCUAAUACCGCAUACGCCCUACGGGGGAAAGCAGGGGAUCUUCGGACCUUGCGCUAUCGGAUGAGCCUAUGUCGGAUUACCUAGUUGGUGAGGUAACGGCUCACCAAGGCUGCGAUCCGUAGCUGGUCUGAGAGGAUGAUCAGCCACAUCGGGACUGAGACACGGCCCGAACUCCUACCGGAGGCGGCAGUGGGGAAUAUUGGACAAUGGGCGAAAGCCUGAUCCGGCCAUGCCGCGUGUGUGAAGAAUGCCUUCGGGUUGUAAAGC